CCAGCGUCUUCCAAACCCGUCCCGAGGGGCCCGCAGAAGCAGAGACCUCCGCUGCGGCCAGGACUUCAGAGCCUUGGAGAAAGAACCACCGGGGCAAAGCGAGCGCAAUGGGCAGUUCGGAAUCGCAAAGCGCGGAAGGGUUUUUCUAGGCACGCAAUUUCAGCGCUCCUCCACCUUCUGUAAAAGCGAGUAGGGUGCGGCGCAACCUGGCGGACGGGUGAACCCGGCUCCCAGCUCACGAGGCGGGCUCUGGCCGAGCCUGCGGGCUGCAGCCUGGGGCCCCGUGGCCCACACUGAAAAGGAAAGAAACAGUGUAUAAACGCUCCGCAUAUGUGCUGCAGAUACGGGGAAACCCUGGCGAUCGCGCGGCAAGCAGGAGCAGCAGAAGAGAGAGCAGGGCGCCGCUCUAGCUGCCACGCGUUUCACGCUCAGUAAAGGAGGGGGCGGCGCGUCCACGGAGACCCACGCACGCGCGAGGGGGAGACCAAAAGAGCGCCGGCCGCACCUCCGCGGAGUCGCCACGCGGAGGCAGCCCCGGGGGGCCUCGAGCGCCGGGAACCGGCCGGGGAAGCGGGGCGAUAAGCUCAGGGAAGCCAGAAAGAACCGCCCGCUCCUCUCCGGCCGCGGGGAGCAAAAACCGGAAGGCAAAAGCUGAUCUGCACUCAAAAACCAUCGCUGGUUCCACUGGGGCUCGAACCCAGGACCUUCUGCGUGUAAAGCAGACGUGAUAACCGCUACACUAUGGAACCAUGCAAGGAGGAGGUUGGGCUCAGGCUAUUUCAGUAAUACGUCGUGGUGUAUGGGCACGCGCACGCACGCACGUAAGUACGCACAGCGGACGUCACGGGAACGCUAGGCACGGAGCGGGAAGGGCCGCUCGCGCUGGGAAAGCAAAUGUAACCUCCGCCUGAACUCCGGAACUGGUGCACAGCGCCUGCAAAAGGAACCGUGCACGGCACCUUCAAAAGGUAUGGAAACCGCUCUGGUUCCACUGGGGCUCGAACCCAGGACCUUCUGCGUGUAAAGCAGACGUGAUAACCGCUACACUAUGGAACCGCGCUGUUGCCAUUUGCUUCCACACAUAGUAGUGCCACAUGAAGCCCAGCCCUGUGACAUCCUGAUCCCGGACGGAAUUGUUCGACUCAGCUCCGCGUCCCCGGGCUUCGCGUUCAUCAUGCUCGUGGCACGGGGGAGGAUGCGCGUGCGGACUCAGAUGUGGAGGCGCGGAGCGCUGAACAAGCAACUGGCUCUGUGGCGCAAUGGAUAGCGCAUUGGACUUCUAGACAGAUGGAGGCAUUCAAAGGUUGUGGGUUCGAGUCCCACCAGAGUCGCUUUUAUUUUGACAAAAGAAAGGUGAAGGGCACUGAAGACGAAGGGAGAAACCAGUAUCCGAAGCCCCGCCCUUCACCACCCGCGCGCUCUGGGCCCAGGUGACUGCGAGAGUCUCGAGCUGGAUCAGGCUCCCGCGGUGGAACUCAGUCGUUAGGCUUGGGCCCGUCGCGUGUGUGCAUCCGGAGCCACCUCGAUUGUUGGGGAUUUGAAAAUCGGUGUCGCUCGAGUCGCUCGAGCUGCAGUACCUGUCCACCGGUAUCAGAAUGGUCUAGUAGUUAAGGCGUUAGACUUAAAACCUAGUGGAUUAGUAUCCCUGUGGGUUCGAACCUCACUAGAAGCCUCGCGCUCCUUUUGACGCAGGUUGGAAAACGCAGUCUGUGGUUUGGGAAGCAGGAAGGGUCUGUCCGCGAGAUGACAACGCAAGCGAUCCUCCUCACCGAGGUCAUUGCGCGGCCACGCGUGGGCAGCGACGGGGAAGACGUUGGCACGCCCACUUGCCGGAGACAGCUUGGGAGAACCCCUGGCAAGGAGGCCUGGCCCGGCGCCGUGGCGCACGGGGCUUCUGCGCUCCAUUUCCGGGGAAAGGGCAGCGGCACCGAAGGUGCGAAGUGGGCCGUGCUGAACCACGGCAGAGACAGGCUCGGAUCUCACCCCACCCUGCCAGACAACUUGGGGCCUCUGCGAGGUCAGCCAGCGAUCCCCAGGCCUCUGGCCAGGGAAAGCGCAAAACAGCUGCUCUGUUCAUCUUGGAGCUGCCUUCGACAGCCACUUCCAGCCGGUGCUGCUGGGGGACCAGGCUCCGGGCAGGCCCUUCCCAGGGCUCUGGCGUGAAGUUCUGGGUGGACCCUGGCUUGGCCUCCGGUGCUUAGGGAUGCGUAUCUUGGUGAAAACUGUAAGAGGAGAAGCAGCAGAGGGAGGGAAAAAAGGAAGAGGGAGAGAGAAAGAAAUGAAAGCGCUGAACCCAGCACGUUGGUUUUCUAGUAUCAGCUGCUUCCCUCCCCAACCACGAAGCAUUAAAGAGGAAUUCUACGCUUUUAUCGUUUCUCUGCUAAACGCUUAGCAGUCAUAGCAUCUAAAGACGUGUUGAUCUGAGCGGCCAACUGGGAAAUCCCAAAAGCGUGAAAUAGUGUAACAGACCGCGUUUUCCCACUUGUGUUACUGUAAAAGUAAUGCGUGCGCCACUCUUCCGUGUUGGUGAUGGGGCCAAGAUGCAGCAGAGACCGCGCCCUCCCAGACCGCAGACUUCAGAUGAUCAGCCCUCCCUCAUCUCCUGCCUCAACGCCUCCCACCUGGCGGGGCCUCUGGACCAGAGCUCAACCUGCAAUGCCGGGAGGCUGGACCGCAUCCCUCCCCAGGCCUCCCUUCCUCCCGGGACUGUCAUCCUACCGCCGCGGGAGCGAAGAUCUGGAGAAACAGGGAUAAAAAUCACACAAAAGACUCAUUAGGGGCGCCUGGGAAGCGGCCGCGGACAGAACAACGCCCGGAAGACAGAAAAGCUUUCCGUGGCGACUUGAGGGAAAUAUGCAGAUUCCCCGACCAAGGGAGCGGCUUCAUCCAUCGUAGGCUGCUCAGAAUUAAUUCCCUGGCCCAGUCCGCAGGGGCACGGGCCGGGCAGGCGGUUGGGACUUUGGUUUCUGUGACUGGGGAGGAGAAACAAAAGCCUGAAUUCCGACUGGCAGAUUUGCCUCUGAGGGAAUCGGGAAAGACUCCGGAUCCUAACCAAGUUAGAACCUGCCAAUGGCUCUCUCCUACCGCGGUUAGGCAAGGGGCAGACGAGAAGUGCAGAGCCCGGAUAGCUCAGUCGGUAGAGCAUCAGACUUUUAAUCUGAGGGUCCAGGUUUCAAGUCCCUGUUCGGGCGGAAGCUGUUUUAGUUUCUAAAGUGAAUUGUCCAGGGGCGCCCCAGUGUUGGGUAUAAACGAGCUCUCUCCGAACUCACGGCCUGUUUCCUGAAGAGAGUCUUCGGAUCCCUUUUCUUUUCCCCUAAGACUGACAUGCAUUUUUUUUUCAUCUUUUAUAUUCAAAACGUCAAUAAAGCAUAGCGGUGGAAAUGCUA
Cavia porcellus (domestic guinea pig) is the source of this 3386-nucleotide long non-coding RNA. RefSeq lists it as uncharacterized. The transcript is spliced from 2 exons. The record is from RefSeq and is a predicted model, not a curated record. Lineage: Eukaryota; Metazoa; Chordata; Mammalia; Rodentia; Caviidae.